This is a long non-coding RNA of Orcinus orca (killer whale), 3023 nucleotides long. RefSeq lists it as uncharacterized. The transcript has 2 exons. NCBI's taxonomy places the organism in Eukaryota, Metazoa, Chordata, Mammalia, Artiodactyla, Delphinidae. The record is from RefSeq and is a predicted model, not a curated record.
UAGAAGAAAUGUGAUCACUUUCAGAACUAGUGGUUUUGAAGCUAAAAAUUUAUAGUGCUUCCCCAUGCCCUCCCUUAUCCUCAUCUAUUCAGAUCAUGUUAACAUCUAAGAUACCAACUUAUGAGUCUUCUAGGAGAAAUGACCAGGAAAAUUGUGUUUUUGCUUUGGUUGGUAAAGCAUGGUAAUGUCAUCUGUGCAGGAUACCAUGAGUCACAUGGCAGUGUUUUGAGCACGUGACAUCACUGCUGAGAGUGCGCCAGGAGGGAACACGCAGACCUGAGUGAAGGCGAGGCGGAGAGCCUACAGUGUGCCUGCUGAGGCUCGUGCAGGUGUGGAAUUCCUGCAAAGUCUCUUAUUUAUUUAUUUAUUUAUUUAUUCAUUCGUUUAUUUUUAUUUUUGGCUGCAUUGGGUCUUCGUUGGUGCAUGUGGGCUUUUCUUUAGUUGCGGCGAGUGGGGCCCACUCCUCAUUGUAGUGCGUGGGCUUCUCAUUGCUGUGUCUUCUCCCGUUGCAGAUCAUGGGCUCCAGGUACAUGGGCCUCAGCAGUUGUGGCACACAGGCUCAGUAGUUGUGGCCUGCGGGCUCUAGAGCACAGGCUCAGUAGUUGUGGCGCAUGGGCUUAGUUGCUCCACGGCAUGUGGGAUCUUCCCAGACCAGGGCCCGAACCUGUGUCCCCUGCAUUGGCAGACGGAUUCUUAACCACUGAGCCACGAGGGAAGCCCCUUGCAAAGUCUCUUGUUUUACCUUAAACACGUGUGCAGAGUUUGCUUUCUCCUCCAUGAUAUGCACAGAAUUGUUUUAAUGUAAAAAUUCUCACAAAUCUUUGAGUACGAUCUGGUGCUCUGUGUAUUCUAUAACCUCUUAUUAUAUCCCCUCCUUCCAGGGUAUGGCUCGCUCAUUUGGAAAGGACCAGGCAUAUAUCACUGAGAUUUUCUUUUUCUGUUUUUCCCCCAUCAUUACCUUGUUCUUCUGGUGGACAGGAGAUGUAGUGGUCUGAAUUGAGACUGGAGAAACUGGCAAAUUAAAAUCACAUAAGUGUUUGACACCACAAUGAAAAUGAAAGGCUAUUUAUUGCUGGCAGAGAUUUGGGUAUUUGCAGUCAUCAGAAGUAUAAAAUAAUCUUUGCUGAUUCAGUCUACUUUCUACUGGGUUAGUCAAAAGGUUCGUUCGUUUUUUUUUUUUUUUUUUCGUAAGAUGGCUCUAGUAGCACCUAGUUGUCUUUAACUUCACUCAAAACAACUUUGUUAGAUAGUAUGUGACAGCUGUCGUAUAAGCGUGCAUUUAAAAAAGACAUUAAAUUGGUGAAUUUUUGUGUAGCCAUUUUAACAUUGAAGAUGGAAUUUUAAAAAAAGCAACAUUUUUGGCAUAUUAUGCUUUAUUAUUUCAAGAAAGGUAAAAACGCGACUGAAAUGCAAAAAAAAAAAGAUUUGUGCAGUGUAUGGAGAAGGUGCUGUGAUGGAUCAAGCAUGUCAAAAGUGGUUUGCCUUCGCAAAUCUCGUGCUGGAGAUUUCUCGCUGGACGAUGCUCCACAGUCAGGUAGACCAGUUGAAGUUGAUAGCAAUCAAAUCGAGACAUUAAUUGAGAACAAUCAACAUUAUACCACGCAGGAGAUAGCUGACACACUCAAAAUAUCCAAAUCAAGCGUUGAAAAUCAUUUGCACCAGCUUGGUUAUGUUAAUCGCUUUGAUGUUUGGGUUCCACAUAAGUUAAGCAAAAAAAAAAACCUUCUUGACCGUAUUUCUGCAUGCGAUUCUCUACUUAAACAUAGUGAAAAUGUUCCGUUUUUAAAACAAAUUGUGAUGGGCGAUGAAAAGUGGAUACUGUACAAUAAUGUGGAACGGAAGAGAUCGUGGAGCAAGCGAAAUGAACCACCACCAACCACACCAAAGGCCAGUCUUCAUCCAAAGAAGGUGAUGUUGUGUAUAUGGUGGGAUUGGAAGGGAGUCCUCUAUUAUGAGCUCCUUCCAGAAAACCAAACGAUUAAGUCCAGCAAGUACUGCUCCCAGUUAGACCAACUGAAAGCAGCACUCGACGAAAAGCGUCCAGAAUUAGUCAGUGCAUAAUCUUCCAUCAGGAUAACGCAAAACUGCAUGUUUCUUUGAUAACCAGGCAAAAAAGCUUGACUGGGAAGUUCUGAUUCAUCCGCUGUAUUCACCAGAUAUUGCACCUUCAGAUUUCCAUUUAUUUAGGCCUUUACAAAAUUCUCUUAAUAGAAAAAAAUUCAAUUCCCUGGAAGACUGCAGAAGGCACCUGGAACAGUUCUUUUCUCAAAAAGAUAAAACCUUUUGGGAAGAUGGAAUUAUGAAGUUGCCUGAAAAAUGACAGAAGGUAGUAGAACAAAAGAGUGAAUACGUUGCUCAAUAAAGUUCUUGGUGAAAAUGAGUCUUUUAUUUUUACUUAAAAACCGAAGGCACUUUUUGGCCAACCCAAUUCUUGGGUUCUAGGUCCCAGUUCUACUGCAAAUGGUAUCAUGGUCUCUUAUCAUCAAGAGAAGACUUCAGUUCCUGUUCUUGAUGCUGAGCUUUUUAUACCACCAAAGAUCAACAAAAGAACCCAGUGGAAACUGAGCCUUCUAGAGUGACUCUGACCCCAGUUAGGAGGGCUCUGGCAGAGAAGGCUGUUUUCCUUCCACUCCUCACUCCUCGAGGCCUGGCUGUUGGGAAGUGGGAAGAGUAAGACCAUCUACCUUAGCAUUACGGAGAGCUGAUCUGUACAGCAGACCUCAGCAGACACCAAUUCUAUUUUAUUUUGCAUAUAAUUUUAAUCAUUAAGCAAGACUUUAAGCUUUAACCCAUAUAGCACCAUUUUGUAAAAAUUACUGUUCUUUUACUUAGUGCUUAUUGAAAGCAUAUUUCUGGUAUUUAUGGUAAUCAGGACAUUGGGUUUCAUUCCCAGCUACAGGUUGGAAUCAUACUGGAACUGUAGACAAAUCACAGAAUUGAUUUGUGCCUCAGUUAAUUGGGAAUGUUUCGUGGCUGCUACCUCAAAAGUGUGAAGAAAAGUAAAGUAAUGUUUUUAAACUGUU